CUACGGGAGGCAGCAGUGGGGGAUAUUGCACAAUGGGGGAAACCCUGAUGCAGCAACGCCGCGUGAAGGAAGACGGAUUUCGGUCUGUAAACUUCUAUCAGCUGGGAAGAAAAUGACGGUACCAGACUAAGAAGCCCCGGCUAGACUACGUGCCAGCAGCCGCGGUAAUACGUAGGGGGCAAGCGUUAUCCGGAUUUACUGGGUGUAAAGGGUACGUAGGCGGUUAUUUAAGUCAGAUGUGAAAGCCCGGAGCUCAACUCCGGGACUGCAUUUGAAACUGGGUAACUAGAGUACAGGAGAGGAAAGCGGAAUUCCUAGUGUAGCGGUGAAAUGCGUAGAUAUUAGGAAGAACACCAGUGGCGAAGGCGGCUUUCUGGACUGUAACUGACGCUGAGGUACGAAAGCGUGGGGAGCGAACAGGAUUAGAUACCCCUGUAGUC
RNAcentral lists this ribosomal RNA (440 nucleotides) under uncultured bacterium. RNAcentral's name for it is "partial 16S ribosomal RNA". It matches the Rfam family "Bacterial small subunit ribosomal RNA", at positions 339 to 795 of the family's 1533-position model. The record is from RNAcentral.